This 440-nucleotide ribosomal RNA is filed under the name uncultured bacterium. Its description in RNAcentral is "partial 16S ribosomal RNA". It matches the Rfam family "Bacterial small subunit ribosomal RNA", at positions 338 to 795 of the family's 1533-position model. The record is from RNAcentral.
CCUACGGGAGGCAGCAGUGGGGGAUAUUGCACAAUGGGGGAAACCCUGAUGCAGCGACGCCGCGUGGAUGAAGAAGCGCCUCGGCGCGUAAAGCCCUGUCAGCAGGGAAGAAAAUUGCGGUACCUGAAGAAGAAGCCCCGGCUAACUACGUGCCAGCAGCCGCGGUACUACGUAGGGGGCAAGCGUUAGCCGGAUUUACUGGGUGUAAAGGGGGCGCAGAAGGCUUUGCAAGCCAGGAGUGAAAGCGCGGGGCCCAACCCCGGGACUGCGCUUGGAACUGCGUGGCUAGAGUGAAGGAGGGGCAGGCGGAAUUCCUGGUGUAGCGGUGAAAUGCGUAGAUAUCAGGAGGAACACCGGUGGCGAAGGCGGCCUGCUGGACUGCAACUGACGUUGAGGCCCGAAAGCGUGGGGAGCAAACAGGAUUAGAUACCCCAGUAGUC